This 484-nucleotide ribosomal RNA is filed under the name uncultured bacterium. Its description in RNAcentral is "partial 16S ribosomal RNA". It matches the Rfam family "Bacterial small subunit ribosomal RNA", at positions 29 to 507 of the family's 1533-position model. The record is from RNAcentral.
AUUGAACGCUGGCGGCAUGCUUUACACAUGCAAGUCGAACGGCAGCGCGGGCUUCGGCCUGGCGGCGAGUGGCGAACGGGUGAGUAAUGCAUCGGAACAUGCCCAGUAGUGGGGGAUAGCCCGGCGAAAGCCGGAUUAAUACCGCAUACGACCUGAGGGUGAAAGCGGGGGACCGAAAGGCCUCGCGCUAUUGGAGCGGCCGAUGUCGGAUUAGCUAGUUGGUGGGGUAAAGGCUUACCAAGGCGACGAUCCGUAGCUGGUCUGAGAGGACGACCAGCCACACUGGGACUGAGACACGGCCCAGACUCCUACGGGAGGCAGCAGUGGGGAAUUUUGGACAAUGGGGGCAACCCUGAUCCAGCCAUGCCGCGUGCGGGAAGAAGGCCUUCGGGUUGUAAACCGCUUUUGUUCGGGAAGAAAUCCUCUGGGCUAAUACCCCGGGGGGAUGACGGUACCGGAAGAAUAAGCACCGGCUAACUACGUG